This 4676-nucleotide unclassified non-coding RNA is filed under the name Leishmania donovani. RNAcentral describes it as "gene:LdHU3.21.1260(CDS-product:Domain_of_unknown_ function_(DUF4042)/HEAT-like_repeat_putative)". Lineage: Eukaryota; Euglenozoa; Kinetoplastea; Trypanosomatida; Trypanosomatidae. The record is from RNAcentral.
CUACCGCAUCGCCCGCUUCUGCCACUUCGACGUCUCCGUUGGGAGUGGUGUUGGUGGUUGUCCUUCACUGUUUCGCUUUUCCUCGUAAUCGAUAGUAGGCCUGGUCAUGAGCACCCCCAAGACAUCGCCGCGCCACCGCGGUCGAGAUGGCAAGUCGGACAACAAGUCCGGUUGUACUGCUGCCGGGGGGUCCAAGCCGUCUACGCCUUCCGGUGCCGCCGCUGCUGCGAGGGGUGGCGGCGGCAUCGGCUUCUCAUACCAUCCAACUCAUAAUCUGCAGUUUCUCAAGGAGCUCCUGCGGCCAUCUGCGGUCAGUCGCAUCGCUGCUGUGGCGCGCGCCGUCCAUAUGGACGACGACCAUGGUGCUGCGGCCGGUGCCGUUUGUGGCCCAUUACCGUCGUACGCCAGCGCACUCGGCUGGUCCGGCGCCGCCGCGUCGUCGCUAUCCCCUCUGCCGCCUCCGUCGUACGGGUCCGCGAUGCCGCCCUACCAGCCGACGGGCAAGAGCCCGGCACCACCGCCGUUUGCAGAGGCAAACGCUGCCACGCCCUCGAGCACCAACAGCUUGGCUCACAGACAUCCGGAUGUCAACGCCCUCGCCUCUGCGGCGAUGUCCGUCCCGUCCUUGCCACUUGUGCUAGAGUGCGCGACGCAGCUGAGCGGUAUGUUGGCCCAGUGGCGCGUGAGCAACGAGGGCGAACGACGCCGUCCGCCACCGCCACCUUUCGCCCCAGUACCCAAGUCCUCGUACGGCACACCCGCUGGGCAGGGCAACCAAGGUGGUGUCAUGCUCCCAACGGCAGCUGUGUGCGGCACUGCGGAUGCAGGGCCGCCGCUAAAGUCGAUCCCACAGCCAGCCGGCGGUGGCGGCACUGUGGUACCGCCACCGACCCGUCCUUCGGCGCAGCGCAUCCUGCAGCUGAUGGACUUGAUUCUAUGGUACUGCCUCUCCACAGCCGAGGAUGCGCAGCUGGCGACGGGUGGCCGCUCACGCGGGACGAGCGGUAUGGCGACUCCGGCACCCCUUCCCGGUGCCACCGCCACUGGAGCUGGAGGGGUCGCCAAUCAGGCUCUGGGCGGCAGCAGCGGUAGCAGCCCGUUUGGCCUUCGUGGCAGCCGUGGCGGACGGUCGGGAAGCGUCUCGGUUGCUGGUGGGCGGCCAGGCUCCGUUGGACGCAGCGGCAGCGGCAGUGCGGACCCUUUGGCUGCGCAGGACUGGCUGGACGGCCGCAUGUCUUCCGCGCCGCCGGCCGCCGGAGCACCGACCAUCACCAUGUCGGAUGACCAGUUGGGAGAACGACUCUUCCGUCUUGCUGUGGAUGCCGUUGUGCUCCUGCAGGGGCCGCGCAGCCAACCGAUGCCUUCAUUAUCGUCGACCUUGUCGCCGUUGUCGCGCUCUCAGGUCGCAGACACGGCGAGCCACAUUGGCAACAGCAGCGCCGUCGCCGUCGCUUCGGAUACAAGAGGUGGCCUAGCACCACCGCCUGCUGAGGACGCCACUGACAACGACGCCGCCACAGCGAUGGAGCUGCAGACGAUGGCGCUGUGGACUCUGGCCGCCGUCCUCGUGCGCUUUACAGACUCCCCGUUCAACGCCACCGUCUUCCUCCCUGUGCUGUUCCCGCAGGUGGACGUGCGCAGCUUGGCCGGCGCACCGCUGCGCCACCCUCUUCUGCAGCCUCUCCUUCGCGGGGACCCGUGCAACACCUCGCUUCGAUGCGGUGCGGCAGCGGCUCUGACAGCGCUUCUGCACAAGCUUCGCUCUACGUUGCAGUACGCCGAGGAGCCGCCGACGGGCCGCCAAGCGGCCUUCCUCUCCCUUGCUGCCCAGUGUGGCAUGAUCCUGACUUCACUUCACGAGAGCCUGUGCUGGGGGCUGGUGCAGUCUCAGCAACAGCAGCCACAGAACGCCGGUGACGGCACUGUGGCAACGACCCCGCUGUCGGCUGCUGCCGUGCCGCUUCUCAACACAUACGCGACGGUUGUGUCGGUCACCCCGUACCACCGUUGCCCUCGCUCACGCGAGGUCGCCCUGCGGACGCUGCAGCUCCCCGUGAUGCACUUCUUCCUGGCCCACGACGAGGUCGGCGCGUUCGUGCCCGCAACUGUGCUCGUGUCCAACAUCUUGAAGAACGACGCGAUGCGCGUGGCGGCGGCGCAGCUGCCCGAGACGGCCGAGGCGCAGACUGGGCUGCAGGGUCGCAGUGAGGGCGAUGAAACCCUAGCCACCGGAGGCGACCGUGCUGCUGUUGCCGCGAGCUUCCUGCAGGCGAUGCUGAGUCACGCCGACACCCGAGUCGAGGUGUGGCGCUGCAUGGUGCCCCUCUCUCGGCUGUAUCCGCGUCUGGUGAACAACGAGUUUGAGGCGUUAAUGACCGCCUCGGUGAAGGUUGCGUCGGCGCUCACGGCGUGGGAAGCCGCUGAGGAAGCCGCGGAGGCGGCUGCGAUGGCGAGCGUCUCAGCUGUCGUGGAGCGUGAGGACGACCUUACUUCGCAGGGGCAGCUCUCUCCCGCGCCGUCCGCGUCCGCUACGCUGUCACGCCCCAUGCAAUCUGCUGCCGGGGGCGGUGACAACAACGCCGAGGAGCGGAGCGUACCUCCGCCGAUUUACGGGGAGGGAGAAGGCGCCGAUCCGGAUGCUGGCGCCGCGCCACCGUCGCCGCAGCGUAGCCGAGCGCCAACAGCCUCACUCGACGCUUUCGCGGAGUGCCUGCGCACGUGGUUGCACUAUAUGGGCUACGUGUGGAAGGCGUUCGACGACAACGCCAGUGACCCAGCGCAGCGGCCGGAGGGGCAGGUCGACCGAGCCUCUGUGGAGCACAAGCAGCGCAUCCACGAGGAGUUGCUGCGCCCCGCUAUGCGGCUGCGUCGCUGCGGCGCGGACGUGCGUACCAUGACGCUUCGGUGCAUUGCACAGAUCGGCAACGAAUACAUGUCCACUGUGGCGGACCGCAGCUUGUGCGAGGAAUUUGUGGCGUACGUGCAGUCCUCAGCAGCGGACGCGCAGCCGCGCGUGCGCGGGGAGGCCCUGACUACUUUGGGCGUGUGGCUCUGGCAAUACACCUCGAUGGACGACUUUGCCUGCGUCGCCAUCGACAGUGCCGUGCACUCGCUUACGACGGAUCCAAACCCGGUAGUGCGCACCAAGGCUGCCUUCGCGCUCUCCAAUGUGACCGGGCGGCUGCCGGAGGGAUCGUGCGCAGUCGUGCGCAACUCGCCAGACUACAUCGCGACGCUCUGCAGCACCGCCAUGCACGCGGCUGUGAUUGACGCUGAGAGCGGCGUGCAGGGACAUGGCAUCCGCAUGAUGAACCACCUUCUCCAGGUGCUCACCUUUGAGGAGCUGAUUAGCGAGGUGGAGGAGUUCGAGGAGGGCGUUGCAGAGGGCUUUCUGCGCGUGCUGUUGGAAUGCCUGCGCGCCAACAACACGCGUGGCGGCCACAAUACCCACCAAGAAGGCGACAGCGUAGGCGAAAGUGGCGGCUCCGGUGCGGCUUCUCUGCGCUAUGCCGUGCCACGCGAGGCGAAGCACCGCUGGAACGCGGCGUGCGCUCUUGGCAUGGGGCUUUCCCGCGAGGAGGUAUUCGAAGCGGAGCCAAAGUACGCCGUGGAAGCUGUCGAGGCGCUCUGCACUGCCGUGGUGCGCGACCACAUCUUCAAGGUGCGCACCCAGGCUGCCGGGGCCCUCGGUCGCAUCCCGGGCCACUGUCUGAGCGGCACCUACACUGCGACGGACAUGACACCAACCGUUGUUGCGUCGCUGUGCAAGGCGCUGGAGACAGCGACGUCCACCGAGAACUUCCGGCAGUACAAGGAGCAGGGCUCACUGCACGAUGCUCUGCGCUCUGCCCUGGCGGUUAUGAUGGCUUCCACCACCCCCAGUAACGCGCUGGAGAAGGUGUUCACGAGUCACAUGAAGGUGCUGCAGAAGGAGGGGCUGUUGUAGGGCGGGGUGGAGAGCUCGAGGCGCGAGUGCAUCGAAGGCUCAGUCGCCGUGUCCUCCCGUGGGGGGAGGUAAGGAGGGAGGAGGGCACUGAUGCCAAGCCGCACGUUUCGAAUCGGCAGACACCGCCGCAAGGCAAAAGACAUAAAAGGUGCGCUGAAGUUGCCGUUUGCGGCGGCGUUUCAAGCCUAAGCGGCAACUGCCGACGCACGCCGAUGCGCACGUCGGCGUCGAAGGAGUGUGUGCACGUGUGUGCGUGUGUGUGUGUGUGCGUGCUUAGGUGCCUCCCCCCUCCACUCGUUUAAGGGGCGGAGCAGCGGGCGGAAGGGCUUUGUGGGCUCGUCUUUGUGUGCCUCCGCGUCCACCGAAAGAUGAUGGAGACGAAGAUGGGGUGAGCGACUCGAAGGGGUCGGUGCGCGGUGAUUCUUGUGCGGUGCCAUGCAUAUACCGUAUGCACCUGCUUUUCUCAUCGUACUCCUUCGUUGAAGGAAAAUGAAGGAUAGCCCUCUCGCCCAUCCUCUCGCCCACCGCUCCCUCCUUUCCGGACUUCCACUUUAGCCUCGCCACACAUCCACAGACACAAGCACACACGCAUGCACCACAUCGUGGAUGAUUCGGUCAAAGGGCUCCGCCGUUCAUGGGAGGUUUAGGGGGAGAUGAAGCACUGAAGGAAGAGGUGGCCGAGCGCUAGGGACGGUGGGGAUGGAGGGUAACUUGAUCACCGCAUCAUUUC